This 450-nucleotide ribosomal RNA is filed under the name uncultured bacterium. RNAcentral describes it as "partial 16S ribosomal RNA". It matches the Rfam family "Bacterial small subunit ribosomal RNA", at positions 354 to 796 of the family's 1533-position model. The record is from RNAcentral.
GUGGGGAAUAUUGGACAAUGGGCGAAAGCCUGAUCCAGCCAUGCCGCGUGUGUGAAGAAGGUCUUCGGAUUGUAAAGCACUUUAAGUUGGGAGGAAGGGCAGUAAGUUAAUACCUUGCUGUUUUGACGUUACCAACAGAAUAAGCACCGGCUAACUUCGUGCCAGCAGCCGCGGUAAUACGAAGGGUGCAAGCGUUAAUCGGAAUUACUGGGCGUAAAGCGCGCGUAGGUGGUUCAGCAAGUUGAAGGUGAAAUCCCCGGGCUCAACCUGGGAACUGCCUCCAAAACUAAUGAGCUAGAGUACGGUAGAGGGUAGUGGAAUUUCCUGUGUAGCGGUGAAAUGCGUAGAUAUAGGAAGGAACACCAGUGGCGAAGGCGACUACCUGGACUGAUACUGACACUGAGGUGCGAAAGCGUGGGGAGCAAACAGGAUUAGAAACCCCAGUAGUCC